GAAUCGCUUGAAAUAUUCGAAGAAGAUGAAGAUUUACCACUAGAGCCAGAAUUGGUGGAACCAAUAAUAGAUACUACGGCAAUUGAUUAAUUUGAUAGGCUAGAGGGAUCGCAAUUUUUGAAGAAUUUUUUUAGUUAAUUUUUAGAUAGGUAUCAAUUGAGUGUUUGCAAGGACGCUGCACAGUUAGGAGUGAGGCUAUAUAGAAUAGAUGUUAAUUCAUUUUUGAAAGAAAUUGAUAAAAUAUAUUAAUAGUCCAUAUAAUAGGAAAUUCAGGAGGACGGAUGAGUGAGUUAGUUAUUAAAAGCGGUUACUUAUAGAAUAACGAUUGAAAUCUGGAGAAUCAAAAGAAAAUAUAUAAGAGUUGUAGAAGUUAAUUAAGGGGCGAGACUGUGAUAGUGUGAGCCGGGGUAAGCUUGGUGCUACCUCUUUUCUUUUAUUUUUUAUUUUCUUUGAAUAAGAAGAUUAAGAGUUUCUGAAUAUUGUGAAAGUGAAUUAUGGAAUAAAAGUAUGAUUGUUAUUAAAUGGAAAGAAGAAAGAUUGAAUGCUGAAAUCUGAUUGUAGUUUAGCAGAGAGAAUGAGUCUGUGUUUGUGUGAAAUACUAUAAUGUGAAGGCAGUUAAUGGUGAAGAACUCCAGAGUUUGGAUUAUAGUAUGAUUAUGUCCUAUCAUUUAGGAUAGUGCGGG
This 683-nucleotide long non-coding RNA is filed under the name Physcomitrium patens. Its description in RNAcentral is "long non-coding RNA (PPAT_LNC005070)". The record is from RNAcentral. Lineage: Eukaryota; Viridiplantae; Streptophyta; Bryopsida; Funariales; Funariaceae.